AUCCCUUCUAGGUCUUUUGGUUAAGACCAAGUGUAGGAUCUGUUUUUAUCAGUUUAAUAUCUGGUAUGUCCUUUAUCCCAGGACAAUAUAUGAAGUGGAUUUUUGGAGCAGGGAGAUGGUUGAAAAUAAUACACCAUGCUUAACUUUGACCAUUUGCUCCUGCUAAUCAGAUGUUCUGCAUAAAACUGGCAAUUGGGUAAUGAUUUU
Molecule: small nuclear RNA, 207 nt
Organism: Macaca mulatta (Rhesus monkey)
Lineage: Eukaryota; Metazoa; Chordata; Mammalia; Primates; Cercopithecidae
Gene: U2
Rfam family: U2 spliceosomal RNA
About the family: U2 is a small nuclear RNA (snRNA) component of the spliceosome (involved in pre-mRNA splicing). Complementary binding between U2 snRNA (in an area lying towards the 5' end but 3' to hairpin I) and the branchpoint sequence (BPS) of the intron results the bulging out of an unpaired adenosine, on the BPS, which initiates a nucleophilic attack at the intronic 5' splice site, thus starting the first of two transesterification reactions that mediate splicing.
Source: Ensembl